AACCUGGUUGAUCCUGCCAGUAGUCAUAUGCUUGUCUCAAAGACUAAGCCAUGCAUGUCUAAGUAUAAAUGCUAUACAAUGAAACUGCGAAUGGCUCAUUAAAACAGUUAUAGUUUAUAUGGUAAUCAAAUUUACAUGGAUAACCGUGGUAAUUCUAGAGCUGAUACAUGCUGUUAAGCCCAACUUAUGGAAGGGCCGUAUUUAUUAGAUAACAGACCAAUAUUCUUCGUGUCUAUUGUGGUGAAUCAUAGUAACUAAUCGGAUCGUAUGGGCUAGUCCCUCGACAAACCAUUCAAGUUUCUGCCCCAUCAGCUUUCGAUGGUAGUGUAUUGGACUACCAUGGCUUUCACGGGUAACGGAGGAUUAGGGUUCGAUUCCGGAGAGGGAGCCUGAGAAACGGCUACCACAUCUAAGGAAGGCAGCAGGCGCGUA
RNAcentral lists this ribosomal RNA (432 nucleotides) under uncultured marine eukaryote. RNAcentral's name for it is "SSU rRNA". It matches the Rfam family "Eukaryotic small subunit ribosomal RNA", at positions 1 to 438 of the family's 1831-position model. The record is from RNAcentral.